Lolium rigidum is the source of this 1246-nucleotide long non-coding RNA. RefSeq lists it as uncharacterized. The transcript is spliced from 2 exons. The record is from RefSeq and is a predicted model, not a curated record. Lineage: Eukaryota; Viridiplantae; Streptophyta; Magnoliopsida; Poales; Poaceae.
AUAUCUUCCCCCCAAUUGAUUAUACUGUCAUUGUUUAUAGCUCUGUACCGCACGUUUGAGAUUUGGAUCGUUAGAAUUUUAUAAGACAUUUCUUUUGUUAAGAAUUUUAUAAGACAUUAGUGGUAUCUCUGAUAGCAAGCCUUAUUUUCAUGAAUUUUUUUAAAGCACUACCAGUAUCUACCUCUUUCCCUUUAUUGUUGUCUGGCCUGCUAUUUUUUCAGAGAUAUGGAAAUGCAUCCUACAAAGAUAUUAGUAUAUAGUAAUGGCAUUCCUUUCUCUUGACUCCUUUCAGGUCUGGAUUAUUUGGGAAAUUAUGGAUUUUCGUAACUGAGCCGAAUUUAUAACAUAAUUAUGUAUGGUCCAUCCCACUCAUUUGUCUCAACUAAUCCAUUCCCUUUUAUAUAUUACACAAAAAUAGUUUCUGAUUUUUUACUUUCUUUGUUUAUUGUAAGAAUAUAUGAAAUUAUACGGCACCACAAAGAGUUUAGUUUCAAACUUAUUUGGAAGUGGCCUUCAUUGUCAAUGCAGGCUUGAUAAUCUAUAGUGUAUAGCUUUAUUAAGUUCGGUUCAAUGUGACUUAAUAUAUCACAUCUGCUUACUUUAUACAUACUCACUGUCAUGUUGUUAAUCUAAUGGUGCUUCUUUCAUGUGACGCCUGAAUGGAAGUUUGUUCAUAUUUUCUGAUCGGGCAUGUACCACCAUGUGUCAUGGAUAUCAAGUAUACAGAUGGUUUCUUUGAUGGCCUUCUAGCUAUAGUAUAUUGCAAAUGCAUGAGCUGCACACAAAACUAUCUGGAAGGAUGCGGUUGUUUGUGGUCUGAAUAAGUAUCGAUCACCACAACACGUCAGCAAUGUUCAGUUGUGCACCAGGUGCUUCUCGCGUCUUUGAUUUUGGGUACCAACCUGCCGACUCCCUACCAUGAGAAUGUCAUUGGCGGUGCAUAGCUCUUGGGCACGGCGCCGACGAGAGAUACCCAUGGAAAUUGGAGCUUUCCUCAUAUUCAUUAGUCUUGAUUUAGCAUGAAUUAAUUUCUGUGUGCACGUAUUUCUAUCCUUAACCAGGUUUAUUUUUUUCUUCCAUUUACAUCUAGAUUUUGUUCAAAUAUCAUGUGGUACUACUAGCUAGUGACCGGUUCGUUCUAAUUCGGUACAGUGAAAUCACUAUUGAUCAUUUAUAUUUGGUGAAGGUUGUUGUUUACAACAUUUGUUGACUUCAAAAUCAAAGAUAUCCUUGGUGAUUUGGUUCA